UGCAGCUAAUACAUACUUAUCAUAAUUCAGCGGAGACACUUCAGAGUGCACCACUUAACUGCUUUUCAAUUUCUUUUCCUGUUUGUCAUUAUCAUUGUUGGAUUUUUUUUUUUUUAAUCAUUUACAGGUGAUUGUUUGGCCCUGUGUUGGAACAACACCCACAAUGUACUUCAACUUUCUUUUCCUCUCACUGCUGCUUCUCUUUGGAUAAAAACCUACAGAGCUGUGGGAGAGGUUCAUGUAGAGCACUUAGCUGCACUGCGGGUUUCUCAGGCCCUGUGCUGGCAAUGCUAGAGUCACUUUGGGAUUUGAAACUUAAAUUGCAGAAAAAGUGUUUUCUGAACUGGUUGCCCCUGAAAAGAUCCUGGAGUAGCACACCCUUUCUUGGCUGAGCACAGUCCUUUAAGGAGAGCAUAGGCUGAACCUGUGUUUCCUGCAUUCUCUUCCAUGGAUUAUUCUUUCCAGACCAGACUGAAUCCUUUCUACUAGUUAACAAGGCAACCAAGUCAUGUGCCAUCAUGCUGAGCGGCAGUGCUCAAAUAAUUUGUUGCAAUGGCAGGAGAUGAGCCACUGUGAAAGAAUUGCUACACAUUACCUAUUAAGUCUAAGCAAAAGCUGAGAAGCAAUAUGCAGAACAACAACAACAAAACCAUAAGAAUAUAUGUGUGGUUACAUUGUCUCAAACAGCAGUACAGAGAGAGGAAGAACCCGUUUAAUAAAAGUAUACAAGCUUAGAGUGGGAGAUGGUUGGACUGAAGAAUAAAUAUUUAUGUUCCAGAUAUUGGCUUUGCCAUCCGUUCUGGUACUAUUCGACACACCACGUUGCAGAACAACAGAUGGAAAGAUGAAGGAAAAGUAGAUGGAGAAUGAAGACACCCCAGAAGUAACUGUUGCAAGAGCUACAUAGUGCUGUCACCAGAACCAUCUCAUUACCUCAUCCAACCCAUGAUCAGUUUAUGGAUGGUUGAUUGUUUGUGUCUUCCUUCUUAAGACUUUAUUUAAUCUAUUGUCCCAGGUUGUGAAGCAACAGGGCAGCAUUUAAAUAUUAAUAGCAAAUUGCUGACCGUAGUUUUCUAGUUCAUGUAGGUAGGCAUCGACAGUAUUAUAAAGCAUUCUUUACAAAUAAUAUAAUACUUCACUAAUAGGCUCUGUAUUAGCCAGAGGAAGGGUUUUAGUAACUUGAGAAUCCUGUUAGCGAGUACUGCUUGAAAUAAGAUGGCAGUUGCUCUAAAAGUUGCUUUAUUAUACUUCCCAUAAGACAUUUCUUGCCCAUAGAAGUCACUGGUAGGGUGAAAUAUCAAAAUAUUCAGAAGAACCUUCAUCAAAUAUCAAAAGCUCCAUAUUUCCCUAGAGAGGCGAUUUCCCCUGUCAAAGGAUAUGAGAAAUUGUCCAGAAUCAGUGUUGCCAAAGCAGCCCCUCCUGCUUCCUCCUCUCUCCCUCCCCUCCUCCUCACAGCUCCUUCUAAGGCUGCUGUUGCUCAGCAGCUCUUUCUGCAUCCAAGCGCAAGAGUUGGGGUGAAUAACAACAGGCCAUCUUAACCCAGACAGGUCUGUCUUCCCAUGGCAGCGUGCUCCCACCACCACCUUUAAAACCUUGCUGCUGGUUUCUUUACUAUGCCCUUUAUUAGAAUACCUUUCUCUGAGGGUGAAGCUGGGGUAGUCUAACAGCUCACUGCUGCCAAAAAGGAAGUCCUUCUCCUGUUUGCCUGCUCCUUUCUCAGCCAGGCAAGCUCUCUUCUUUCUUUGGGCCAGUUCUGGUGCUCAUCAGGCCUUUCGCUGAGCUGGCUCAGCUUGCGAAGCUUGUCGCUUUUUUUGGCCACCUUAGCUGUCUUCAGGCCAGUGAACUGAACUGGUCCAGCACGGGGCUGACUUUUCAGAGGUGGUGCAAGGAAAAGGAUGGGAAGGAAGGAGGAAAGGAGAGGAAGCAGGAAAUUACCAUUCAGUGCUGCUCUGCCAUUAGCUUAUUUUAGGUGACGAGGUGUAACUUUACCUUAAAAUUCAUCAUUAACGAGUGAAAUUAAAAAAUAUUUCAUAUAAAUCCCAGCAUAAGAAUAAAAGACAUGUUAUUUUGUUGCUUAU
Non-coding RNA from Phalacrocorax carbo (great cormorant), 2078 nucleotides. Lineage: Eukaryota; Metazoa; Chordata; Aves; Suliformes; Phalacrocoracidae. The record is from RefSeq and is a predicted model, not a curated record.